Diorhabda sublineata is the source of this 11408-nucleotide long non-coding RNA. RefSeq lists it as uncharacterized. Lineage: Eukaryota; Metazoa; Arthropoda; Insecta; Coleoptera; Chrysomelidae. The record is from RefSeq and is a predicted model, not a curated record. The transcript is spliced from 2 exons.
GAAAUGUUUGUCGAUUUUAUUGAUUUUUAUUGAGUUUUUAACAUUUUUUGAGAUCUUAUAUAAUUUGAACGGGCCUAUGGAAUAAUAAAAAUAUACAGAUCAAGCCCUUAAUAACAUACAUUAUAUUUCAAUCAAAAUAGACAUUUUAUCUUUAUUCAUAAUAUUUAAUAUAUAUCUCAACUAAAAAAGCAUAAUCCUACACUAAGGACUCAAAUACAUCACACGUCAUAACAUAACACUUUCCGUAUCUCUCUGGUAUAAUUUUUUUUCAACACAAAAAUAUUCAUAACGAUGUAUUUUGAUUUUAUUUAUACUCAUUUGUCAAUAUUUUGUCUUUUAACUUAUCACCGUUUAAUACAAAUAACUUUCCCAUAAAAUUGAGCAUAUUAUAUAGUAUAGGUGCAAAACAAAAUACUGAAUUUAUCUGUAGUUCUAUCACUUACUAAUUACUUAACCCAUCUAGAGUAUACACGCUUUAAAUUGUUGAAUACUAAUUAAUUUACAUUUGCAAUAUGCUAAGAAACGUUUGCGCUCAAUUAUGGACACGACUAGAAUUGAAAAAAGUAUCAUUGUAUAUAACUCAUUCGAUUACUUAAUGGGAAAAAACAAGGAAUCCAAGAGGACGACUGGUAGGACUCACCGCGAAACGAUACAAGCUGGUGCUGAAAACCAAGCUUCUCAUCAGGAUCAUCCUUAUUAUCAUCAUGACAAGAAUAAUCUCCAAGCAUAGCAGCAUAUCAACCUCAUGCAAGUAGUGAAUGCUUCUUGGUACAUCAGGAUCCAGCGGAUCUAUCGACAGGUGGAUCAGAUUAAAGUCAUGGAGGAAAUCGUCAAAAUAUAAAUAAACAGGCUGUGAGAAAAAUACCAGAUUCUAAUGCCAAAACGAAAAAAAAAACAGUACUGAAUAAACGAAGAGGAUAGCCUGCCACUAAACUUGUGCAAAUACAAUAGAGAGAAAAUAACAGAGGAGAUUGAUGAUUCUAUUGAACGCGAUUGGGUGUAGGAAGAAACUUUUCUCGAAAUGCAUCGUUCUUGGAUGUAUGUAUUUGGAUUAGGUGUGGUAUAUUACUGAUUCGAUCCAAGCCAAGUUUAAUGUAUCAUAUUGAUGCAGUCAUGAAACCAUAAAAGUACGGUAUCCCCAAGAGUUAUUUAAAAUAGUAAACCAACCAGAGUCAAAUGUAGCAGAAUAAAACUCAACUGGACUGGUUUGAUGAAGAUUAUUUGAUUAGAGACGAAGAAGGAGACCAAUGAAAGAAGAAGAUUCUAUACAAACAGUGAAACAUAGUGGCUGCAAUAUUGAAAUGUAAGUUGUCUAAUAGCUCAAGGCAUUGUACCAAUUUCCAAAAUCUAGAUAGAAAAUGUACCAUGCCUUACCCAAAAAACACGUCGAAAGUACUGGAAUAUUGGCUAAAUAAUGAAUAAAAAGCUGAUAUAUGAACGAGAACAAGAACAUUGGUAUUAUGGGUAAUGUGACAAAGUCUAGAAAGUAUCAAACAAGCAAAAUGUCAUUGGACUUCUACAAAUACCAUACACUUUGCAUCGUGUAGGUAUUCUCUAGUCCAAAACUUCUAAUCUAUUAUCUGAAGGCACCCCUCUUCUUCACGACGAAAAAUUGUUGCUGCACCCCGAAUGCCACACCAGUCUCUUAGAUUUCGUAGCCAGGAAUGUUGUUACCGCCCUGGUCCUCUCCUUCCGUCGAUCUUUCUCAUCAGUAUGAGCUACAGAGUUGAAUAUCUCGGUCAUUGGACAAGUAUUGAAAUUAUGAAGUCAGUCCCAAAAGUGAACCAAACGUAUUUGCGAUGAUUAAAAAUGAAUGUUUUUUAGCUUAUCGGAAUUAGUUAAAGUUCUAUACAAAUAUAUUUAUUUUCAACAGUUAAACCAAAAUGUUAAACAUGAACAUUAUUCAUUUUUGCACCUUACUGUAUAUGUACUGUAUAAGUUUAUAUGUAUUUUAUAGAAUAUUAAGAAUGUUCUAUAUGCAAUCAUGUUUCGUUUUCAAAUAUUUGCUAGCGAAUGUACAAAAGAUUUUGUUAGAAAAUAAUAAAAUACUAAAUAAUUACAUACAAUUUUUACAGGGAGGUACGAAAAGUUUACAUCAUUUCUGUAAAUCAGAAUCGAUCGAAAAGUCAUGCUUUGUUGUAGUUAGAUCGACCUGCUAAUUUCUCCCUUCGCUAAUAAGUACUUUAAUAGGCUUAGUUGUGGAGGUCACCAUAAACAGUCUAUUAUAUUUCUGUAAGAAUCAAACGGAGUACUAAACUAUAGUAUGAUUUUUGUACUAUAUUAUAUAUUAAUUUACGCUUAGAGCUAAAGAUUGUAAAAGUAACAUUUAUAGUCUAUAUUUUACUUGUGAUUUUUCUCUUACGUAUGUACUGGUAUUAUAUAUAUAUAUAAUUAGAUUUAAAUUCGAUAUAUAAGGAAGAACGAUCAAUUUAAUACAAGGCGAGGUACAAUAAACCGUUCCUUGAUUCCGCUCUCUCCAAUCCUUAUUAAAACAAAUUAAUGAAUUAUUGACUUACUACAAAGAGAAUUUAAUUGAAAAUUUAUCAUAAUUCUAAAUCCAGAAAAAGAUUUUAAUAAUUUAAUCUCUUGAAACUGUCAAAACAUUAAUGAAAAUGAAAGUUAUUUAUGGUCCAUUCAAAAGCAACAAUAUAUAUUACAAGGAGUGAAACAUGAUAGUAAAUACUACUAUAUAACAAGGUAUCCCGACUUUUGAUGAUUAAAAUUUGAACCAAAAAUGUGACUCUUCUUCAAAAAUCUAUUCAUUGAAUCAAUUCUUCUACGUAACAAACAUUUAGCUGGUUAAAAUCAAAAGCCGAAAUUUCUAUGGCAACAUACGAGAAAUGCACGCAGGAAAAUCAACUAGUAACGAAAAGAAAUGUACAAAAAAGAUUUACAAUAGUUUCAAUAAGUUAAAUUAAAGAAAUGAAAAAGUUCAAACUUGAAGUGUCAAGAAAUAGGACUGAGACUUUUGUGUAUUUACAUUCCAAUAUUGUUCUUGUACAUGGAGUAGUUUCGUUUUAGAAUAUAUUAAAGAUGGAAGCAAAGUCUGUGAACAAACUAGUCCAAAUCAUUAGUGUGAAUAGUUUAUCUCUGACUGGUUUAACCAGAAUUCCAGUGACAACAACCUCACUAUAUUUUUUAUCGGUGAAAUAAUACAGUUCACUAAUAAAUAACAUAGCAAAUUAAUAAUAUUUAUCCAGAAGAAAACACAAAUUAAAAUAGGAAAAGUAAAAUCUUUACUUGAUGAUUGUAAAUAUUAGUAAAUAAAGGAGAAGUUACGUCGAAUAAUAUUAGGUGUGAAAUGAGAAUUGAUGGCAAACGCUAGAGUAAUAGACGAAAGCUUUAUCACUAUAAGAAUAAAAAUAUAUCAACAUAAAUUUUGAAAAAGUAGAUAAAAAUACAGAUGUAGAAAAGAAUGAGAUAAAGUUCCUUGAUUCGAAAUGAAAGACCAAAAAAAAAACAAAGUACAAACAUGAAACAGUGAAAAUCUUCAUUAGAUGGAAAGGAUUAGAUCAAAUUUUACUGUGGAACUUAAUUACGUCUUAUAAUUUAUUAUUAAUUCAACGAAUAACAGCGAAAAUCCAGACAGGAUUUUAAUAAUUUAUCUUCUUUAGAAAUUCCUGUCUACUCAACUCUGUCAAAACGUUAAUGGGAAAGGAUAGCUAAAAUUUGUUAGUAAAAACCAAAGUAAAACAAGGUACUUCAACUUUAACACAUGAGCUCUGAUAUAAUAUGAAUAGAAAAUGCACUUGCGAGUCAAAAAUAUCCAGUGCGGAAAUCGUAAGAGACGAAGAUACAAUUAACGAUUCUCAAAUUUCUUGAAUCGAAUUGAAAACGUGAGACAAACAUGAUUAAGACACUGAAAAUUUACUUACUAGGUAAGUAGGUUAGAAAAAAAGAAAAAAGUAACAUUUAAUUUUCCGUAUGAAUAUUCGAAUUUGAUAUGUUACUUACUACUUAUUUUAUUUUAGUACCACACCACAUAUCUCAAAGACAUUUUAAAAAAAUUGGAGCCAAUCGUACGGAGAAUAAUUUUAAAAUGAAUGAAAUUAGAAUAUAUAAAAAAAUAAAUCAAUUUAAGGGCAGUACGUCACGAAAAGUUUUUAAUACAUCACUUAAUUAAACAACAAUUUCUGUAAGCUUUUAUCGAGAUAGUAAAAACAAUUAUGAGUAUAGAGGAAACGAAUGAUGUCUACUUAGUAAUAUUUUUCUGAAAAAUAACUGUUUUUAUUAGAUUGGUAUCGUUUUUUUUAACAAAUAAAUUAUAAUCUUAGUUGGAUCUACAACUCCGUCUGAUUCGAGUAUUAAUUUUAAUUUUAUACUAAAAUUACACGACCAAGGUUUCCGACCUAGCUAUAUAAGUUUAAAUGACUAUAUUAUGUCUCAAAAUAUAUAGAAUAUAUAAUGAGUAGCCCUCCGAUUUCCUAAUCGUGAAUUUUAAUCGAUUGGGAAAACUAAUGAGGUUAUUUACACUGGGCAUAUAGAAAUAUAUGGAAUUUUAUUUUUCUAUUUAUUAAUACUUAUUGCGAUUGGGCGAUGUCCAGUAAAAUUUUUUUUACAAAUGUCAUUUCGCAACCUGAAGGCCUCUUAAUAAAAUACAAAAAAAUCCUAACAAACAUUUCUUUUUCGAUUAGAUAUCAAACAUACACAGUAGGUAUCCCAUAAAAAAUAAUUAAACUAAUCAGUUACACUGUAUAAUUGUAAUACCAUAGAAUGCGUUAUUUUAUAAAGAUGCUACACGUGUUUAACCUAUGUAUGUGUAGUAAAAGAAUGAUUUGUUGUCGAAACCCCCAAUUUAGAUAUUUUCUAGUUUACUUUAUUGUACUUUAAAUAGAACCGAACCAAAAAAAGUUGUAUUGCAAAUAUUGAUAAUUCUCAUUCACGAGUUGUGAUCAUCAAAUUUGAGCAUGAUACCGAUAAAAACAAUUAACAUUUCCUUAAAACAAUUAUGAAAUACGAAUAGCGAUAUAAUAAAGAACGAACAAUUUACGAGAAAUGAAUGAAUAAAUAAUUUUUUUCGUAAUUAAUCAGAGAACAUCCAAAAAAUAAUAAAUAUCAGGUAAACUAUGCAAAUAAAAGGGACAACCCCACCUCAAACUUAAAGAGGACUUAACAAGAUAGCAUUUAAUUAAACAUGGCAACUAAAUUAGUUUAAGAAACAUGGCGAUUAAAAACUAUCAAAAAAGAUGAACUUUUUAAUAAGAUCUUGUGUUAUACCCCAGAUACUUAGAAAACAAAUAGACCUAAUUUGGCGACUUGUUCUUUAGGAACAGCACACUAUGAUACGAGUAAAAAAUCAAUUUGAAUCAAUACACGAUAAGAACCAGAAAGAUUUGUAAGAAGAAAACACAGAACCUUUUAGGUUGGGAGUAAGUAGAAGAUGAUGAAAUAAAUUCCACAACAAGCUUAUAUCUGAUAAUAUUUGUUGUUUAUCGAUUCCGAGGAAGAGUAUGACACAAUAAAAACGAUAAGACCGAUAAACAAUUUCAUGAAUUUUGAAAUGUCCCUAAAGCUCUUUGAUCUAGUAAAGUAAACAUGGCACUUUGAUAAAUUUGUUUUACAGCAGGGAUUCCCAUAGUAGUCGAUAUCGAAUACUUGGGGUCGUAAUCGGUUUUCCAGAGGUCGACAUAAACGAAAACUGAUUUUGAGAUUGGAUGAUAAGUUUAUUCACUCAACCAAAAGAAACUUUUUGGAAUUGGUAAGUAUGUUGUAUCGAAAAAUGUAUAGAAAAAACUUGAGAUGGUAUUUUUGAAGUGAUUAGUCUACGGGAAUCUACGAUAUUAAAUCAUUUUGAAAAAGGUUUUUUAUUACCAAAAUAGUUCAGAAUCCCUGUUUUAGAGGAUAUUUAUGAGUAAAAAUGCGAGAAAUACACAGAAACGAUAUUAAAGAGAAAAAUAAAAUAUAUUAGACCUGGUAAUUGAUAUUUAUAUAACAAUAAGGGAUGUAUUUGAGAAUAGACAUAUACCUUAGCACACGUAAAUAAAAUUAUAGUGAUUUUUAAGAAUAACAAGAGAAAACAAUGCACAAAGCAGUAAUAAGAUCCUUGGUGAUAUUUUAGAAGAGGACUCUACACAAAAAACAAAAGAGUAUCAGACAAAUUUAUAGAGAAAAAACAAUAUAGAAAAUGAACCUAAUCGUAUCUAAUAUAAUUCAAUCUGAAAAAGAUGGAAUAGGAACAUCAAAGAAAAAGAAAUGCAAAGAAGCAUUGAUGGAGAUCUGGGAAAACUCGGGAAUAGAGAAAAUAAGAAAAUAAUAGUUAAAUUUUGCUCAAUUGAUUGUUUUGUGAAGUUUGGGUAAAUAUUUUAGAUCCUUUGUGGUUCGUAUUUAACAAUAACUAAAAAAAUGUCAAUAAAAGUCAUUUCCCAUCAUUUUUUUAUGAGAUGCUGUUAAUAUCGUUCUUCAUUUUUCGCUUAUUUGUAUAUAAAUAUGCAUAGAAGAUUAUAUAUAGUUGUUGCAAACCCAACUAUUUUUCAGUCCUGGUUUUUGGAUAAAGUAAUCUCUGAUAAUCUCAAAUUUUUUCCCAUUCACUUUGAAGGCAUGAAUAGUAUUCAAUUCAAUUUCAAAUUCAUUAUGGAAUCGACUACAAUGUAUUAUGGACAUAAUACAAAAAAUUAUUUUUCUAUUACUGCACCUACAUAUGCAUCAGUUAUACUUUUCAUUUAUAAUGUUUUGGAAGCAAAAUAUUUUUUUUUCUUUGACAAUUUCUUUCGCUCACUGUAUAUAUAGAAUUAUUGGUAACUUCAAACUUAAAAAAUGAUUCCGUUCAUAAAAAAACAUACUAAAAAUUCACAUACUUUGGAGUUUAACUUUCUGAUGCUAUAUGUUAUUUUAAAAUUUUAAUAGACACGUGUUUAAAAUUGCAAAUCCGAAAAAUUGACGGUUAUCAAUUAUUAUUUUGCUAAAUUAACAAAGUGUAUCAAAAAGUUAUAAUAUUUAUUUAAAAGAAUUAAAGAUUACAAAGAAGUGAACAUACAUAUAAAACUUAAAAAUCUAAAGCGAAAAAUUGCAUACAUUUCAAGGAAUUUUACUUUAAACUUUCAAAUAACAUCUAGUAUUAUUAAGUUUUUAUCUCAACGUUCUACAACUACAAGAUGAAACUCUUGAAUUUUAAAGCAAAAUUUAACUUCUAGCUUAAGAUUUUUCUACUUUAUAUUAUAUGUGACGUUUUUACUUCUCUGUUUAAUAUUAUCAUCUUGAAUCUCAUUUUACUAUAUUAAUAAUAUGUCUAUACAUGUUAUGUUAAAUAUGCAUAGGUACUUGCAGUCAUUUUUUUGCAGAUCUUUUUUUUAAUUUCUUUCAAGUAACUAUUGAUAUGUGUUAUGAAUAUAAAUAUAACGUAAAAUAACAUUAACUAUGUUAAAUACUACAUAUCCUAACUCUAAAACACAAAAUUUUUUUAAAAAUAUAUGUUUUGUGUUUUGACAAUUUUCAAAGCAAUUUAUAAAAUUUAAAGCAACAUAUUAUCGUAUAAUCCGUUUGAAAAACAAUUAUAUUCCUUAAUCUAGGAUUAUUAUUCUACAUACACUCCAAGUUUCAUGAAAUAAAAAUUCCAAACCAUAAAAAAGUUAAAUAUUAACAAAUUUACAAUUAAAAUUUUUUUCUCACAGAUAUAGUCAAACAUCUAAUGCCUAACUAACUCCAUUAUUUUUAAUAUUAUGCACUAGUCUACACCAAUACAUUUAUAAAAUUUGAAAUACUAUUAGAUUCAAGAUGACAACUAGUUUAUAUAAAGCACACAAAGUGUUUAAAUAAUUUUGUCCAACUUCUUCAGAAGCAAUUAAAGAAGGACAAGUAAAUAACGAUAAAUAUAUCAUUAGUGAACAUAAAUUUAAAAUCGGAGCAAGUUCAAGUUUUUUAGAAUAACAAUAUUAUUAGUGACUGGCAUUUCUUCUUAUAGUUAGUUAGUAACAUAAUUUUUGUUUUAAAAUUGUUGUAAACAAAUAAUAAACUUGAAACGCAAUUUAGAUUCCGUGACUCAAUUAACCUCGAAUUGAUCGAACUGAUUACAAAAUAUGCAUAGUAAAAUGGUACCUUGAAUCAAUCAUAAAAUCUAUUUUUUCUUUUAAUUACCUUAUGAUAUAGUGGAUUGGUUAUAAGUAUUAAAAGGUCGAGAUAAAGAAAAACAAAGUUUGGUUUGGACGAUAGUGAACUUAUACUAAAGGUGGUAGUUAAAAAAUCCUCUACAAAAAUGAUAAGAGUGUUUGGAUAUCGCAGUAAAAUUAAAAUAUCGUAUUGCCGGUUUUUAGUUAGUAGCGACAUCUAUUCAAACUUUUAUAACGCAUACAUGACAAAAUCGUUUAUACUGAUGAUGAUUCAGCAAAAUUUCGUUAUAGAAAUUACUUGCAACUUAGCGUAAAUGUAAAAAACUCGUACCACAUUUUGGUGGAGUGUGGUAUUUCAAGUAUUGCGUAGCCGUUUGAACGUUUUACUUCUAAGGUAAAAAUUAUAAACACUGGAAGUAGGAGCAAGAUUGUUAAAUAAUUACUUGCGUUCUUCCGCAGGCACAAUGUUUUUCCAGACGGUAUUCAACUCGUAUUCGGAACCAAAAAAAAGAUUAUUGUUCCUGUAGCAGGAGAAGGAAUAAUUACACAACUCUACAGAAACAUUUUGUUUGUUGCCCUGGAUAUAUUUACAAGUACCCAUAUUGGAAACGUAUUCAUGAAAGUACUAGUCCAGGAGUUGUCAAUCUAAAAAGUCCCUUUAUACCGUGUAUGUAAUUUUUUUAUGAAAAUUGGUGGUACAAAAUUACAGGAAAUAAAAACGCGAGGUUUGUGUGGAUUUGCGAAGCCGGAAAAAUGUUUUAUUCGAAAGAAAAUUUCAUUCUCUUUUAGAAAAAAUUUACGCAAUCCAAUUUCCUCCAUCACACACGAUUAAAAAAAGCUUACCUGACUCUUCCGGCCAAAAAAAAUGGUUUGAGAAAAUUUUUUUCUGAAAGAGAAUGAAAUUUUCUAUCGAAUACACUUUAGGCAAACCACGAUUGAGAAACAUUCAUCGAUUUUUUCAAUAAUUCAUUUUUUAAAACCUCGUGUUUCCAAUUCCUACAGUUUUGAACUAUCAAUUUUCAUAAAAAAUUACAUACAUGGUAUGAGGGGACAUCACGUGCUCCACUCUCUCAGACUCUACCUUACAGAACAGCUGAUGUCUCUGUUAUUUGACAAUAUUGAUGUACUAGAACGUAAAGUGGAUAAGAUGUUAAAUGCAAAUAUCCUUCUAAUAUAUUUAUCUUGUCAUGAAGAAAGUGUAAAUAUAGUAAUAAUUUAUUUUGUUAUAUUUGUGCUGUUUGAUUAAAAUGAGCAAAUAAGGGUUCAAUAAAGUUUGUGUUGAGCCUUUACAGUUGUAGAUUAGACUUUGCUAGGUAGAAUAUUUGAUUGGCCUCUAAUACAGCAAUUGGAAGAUAGAGAAUUUUUCACAUCAAUGUUUUGAAAGUUGUGUGUUUUUAGUCGAAAAUGGUGAGCAAAUAUUGGUUAACUCCGCAAUCAUCUAGAUAAAUUUUCGGCUAAUUUAAAAAAUUAUAGCUAAGGUCGCUUGACAUGAUGUAAGGCAAUGUGCAAUAGAUUGCAUGCAAUUUCUUGCAAGAUCAAUACAAUGGACGAAUAUUCCGCGUCACUUGACAUUAUGUCCUUUGCCAUCGCGUCAUAAUUGCCACUAAUCAAAAUUAUAUAAGUAAUUCACUAUAUCAAAACGAGCAAAGAAUGAUAUUCCCACGAGUAUGAAGUUUGCAGUAGGCUCAUGCUACAAAUCAUAUGAAUGGAAAAUCAGCAUUUUAUGCGAGUUAUACACUAUAUUUUUUAUACGGCUUCAAUAUAUCUAAUAGAUAACAGUGAAACACCUUUUCUAUUGGAUCAACGGACUAUUAAGAAGAAUAGUCCAUAUUAUUUUUGUAGUUCCAAGUAAUAAUUUUCUUUUUUCAUGACAAGGGCAACGGCUAUUGUUGUUCAAUACAACGAUCGCCUUAAUGUCGGUCAGAAUGAGGUCCUCAUCUAAGUGAAUAUACGAAUAUUAAGUGAAUCCGAUCGGUGAUCGGUUUAAAAAUGAAAAUAACUUGCUAAGUAAAGUGAAAUAUCACCUAGGCGAUGUUGGGACAAGCACUGGAAUUAUAUGAGAAACCGUACAAAAAUUAUUCGAGAAUGGAUGAAGAAACAUUUGAAAAACUCUUAAUGAAACAUAAGAUAACUAAGAAAUCAUUAGCGGGAUAUGUGAUAUCAGCCAAUUAGAAACUUAUUUUUCUCUAGAAUUGCAACUUGCACGCAAUAAAAAAGGCACAAAACUGAUAAUGUUGCAAGAGCGAGAUCUUCCAUGAGCUGAACUUCAUCUGCGCAUGCUUUUGAUCAAGAAAUAUUGCCUAUUGCAUUGCACUGCACGUUGUAUUGCAUCAUGUCAGUCCUUUAAGAACACAAGAGAAUAUUGCAACAUGAUUUAAAAUUGAUGAAUGAAAGAAAUCGGGGAAGGUGAGAUGGUCACGUAAUGGUAGAUUACUACCGGUCUUUAAAAAGAGAUUAUUAUUCAAUAAAGUAUGGAAGAAAAGUUAAUAAGGCGUUUUAUUGGAAUAUAUUUUCUAAAUUGUGCCCUCUAUUCACUUCGAUUUAUCCUAAUUUUUCAAAACAAAAGUGACAUUAUAAACAUAUCUGUUAUUUUAUUUAAUUUUUUUAUGUAUUCAACGUAAAAAUGAAAAUAAAGAUUAAAAAAUGUGAAAUCUUAUAUCAAGGGCAACAAAAUCUCUGUCGGCCAAUGAUAUUUCAUUCGCAAUAUUCAUAAAAUAUUGAAAUAAUAAAUUUUUUAUCGAAACUAUUUUUUAAUUUAUAUAUAAUAAACAAAAAUUUUGAAACAUGACCUCGUAGAGUUUUGACUAGGCCCUUAUUAUUUGAAAAUGAAGCUUUGGAAAAAUAUGAAUCAUUUACCUUUAGUGUUUCAACCCCCACAUCACAAAAUAACAUUUAAGUAGAAUUUUAAACAUUUCAACAUCUCUUCCCAACUUUAAAAUAUUUUAAACAGCAAACUAUUUUUUAUGAAAUAAUAUAGAAAAAUGUGGUAUACGGACAUUGAUUUUUUGUUCCGCACUUUAGAAAAUUAUUUUUCCACAGUGGCACUUAUUCAAAUAUAAGAAAAACUCAAUAUGAGUCAAAAGAAGCUUAUAUAAUACAAAAUGAAAAUAUGUAUAUAAUCCCGCAUAUAUAAACAGUUUUUUUUUGAAUAUUUAAAUUUUUUUUUGUACACCAGGCAAAUUUUUUAAAAAGACCACCUUUUGCUCGUUGAUACUAUAUCACAAAAUGCUUAAUGCUUAUUGGGUCCGAGUAAUUUUAAAAAAAUUGGCCCGAUAUAGUUUUUCAUUUAAAUGAUAUCAUAUAUUGAUUAUAAAGGUAAAUAAUUAUCCAUAUAAUUAGAACGCUAUAACCGAGAAAAGUUAAAUA